AGUGAACGCUGGCGGUAGGCCUAACACAUGCAAGUCGAACGGCAGCACAGUAAGAGCUUGCUCUUACGGGUGGCGAGUGGCGGACGGGUGAGGAAUACAUCGGAAUCUACUUUUUCGUGGGGGAUAACGUAGGGAAACUUACGCUAAUACCGCAUACGACCUACGGGUGAAAGCAGGGGAUCUUCUGACCUUGCGCGAUUGAAUGAGCCGAUGUCGGAUUAGCUAGUUGGCGGGGUAAAGGCCCACCAAGGCGACGAUCCGUAGCUGGUCUGAGAGGAUGAUCAGCCACACUGGAACUGAGACACGGUCCAGACUCCUACGGGAGGCAGCAGUGGGGAAUAUUGGACAAUGGGCGCAAGCCUGAUCCAGCCAUACCGCGUGGGUGAAGAAGGCCUUCGGGUUGUAAAGCCCUUUUGUUGGGAAAGAAAAGCAGCAGGUUAAUACCCCGCUGUUCUGACAGUACCCAAAGAAUAAGCACCGGCUAACUUCGUG
RNAcentral lists this ribosomal RNA (492 nucleotides) under uncultured bacterium. Its description in RNAcentral is "partial 16S ribosomal RNA". It matches the Rfam family "Bacterial small subunit ribosomal RNA", at positions 29 to 507 of the family's 1533-position model. The record is from RNAcentral.